This is a long non-coding RNA of Hypanus sabinus (Atlantic stingray), 4940 nucleotides long. RefSeq lists it as uncharacterized. The transcript has 3 exons. The record is from RefSeq and is a predicted model, not a curated record. Lineage: Eukaryota; Metazoa; Chordata; Chondrichthyes; Myliobatiformes; Dasyatidae.
AUCCAAAUUAUUAUUUUGUGUUUUCAGAUGUCCAUUGAUGUAUGAGGCUGUUCAUCAGUGUUCUUCAGAUCCCUGUUGACUUCCAGCAAUUUUAAAUUUGAGUAAUGAUUUGAAAUAGUAAUUUUUUUUAAUGCUAUGAAGCCGGUUGGAGAUACUGGGGGGUGAGGGGGGGAAAUCUGAAUGUAAUCUGAAUAUAAUGGAGGAGCUUGGCUUAAGAAAAAUUACCAUGAAAGAAAAGCAUUAGCAGAACAGAUUUUCAUGUUGGAGUUUCUAGAGUGCAAAUGUUUGAAGGCUGAAGCCAAUAUUUGUGAUAAGUGUGAGUCUCAAUGAACCUGAAAAGGGAUUGGAGAGAUUUCUAGAACUGAAGCUAAAGGAGGCUUUAGGUUAAAAAAAAAAGAGAAUUUUGACGUUGGUGCUUUGGGACUGGAGAAAAUGAAUGUUAAUUAUAAUUAUAUCAUUAAUGCAUUUCUUGAUGACUGGAGUAAAAUCAUUGCUUUGAGCUUAUACUAAAAACUCCUUAAAUAAGACUAUAAACUUAUACCUAUUAUGAUUAUUUGGUUCCCGAAUCUUGAAACACAGAUUGGCACAACUGUAAACAUUUGCCGUUGUGUUUUCAAGUGGCUUCCUGACCAUAACCUCCUCACCUCUAGUACUUAAUCAGAUAAAUUGUGGUCAUGCUAAUAAUGUUCAUAUUCCAAAGUUUAAAAAUAAGCAUCCUAACAUCAGAAUUCUAAGUCAUGAAGAAAACUUAAAGUGUGGCUUUAAAGAGCAUGUGAAUUGAAUGCAGUCUUAGUUAUCAAUCUCAAAAGCUGUUGGAAGUUGGAUAUGGCAAAGUCGGGGAGCGUUACUGUUACACUGUCCCACCUCCUCAAGAAAGAUUUUAAUGCGGUAGAAUGGAUAAGACAUGCCACUAGAAUUGAGGAAAGCUUCUACCCCGCAAUCAGAAGACUAUUAAAUGGUUCUUUAACACGAUAAAAUAGACUCUUGGCCUCAUAAUCUACAGCUUGCGCCUUAUUGUUUACCUGCACUACACUUUCUCUGUAGCUGUUAUACUUUCUUCUGCAUUAUUGUUUUCUCCUUGUUGAACAUCAAUGAACUGUGUGAACAGUAUGUAAGACAAGCUUUUCAUUGUAUCCCAGUAUAUGUAAUGACAAUAAUGAACCAAUUCCAAUACCAACCCUGUCAUUAUUGAAUACACAAUUAGAAAAUGAAGGACAGGUUGUUGUUAUUGUUAAUAUGGAGAAAGAUCUGCAGUUGAUGCUCCAUGAGACAGAGAGAGAUCCCCUCAAAUGUAAUUGUAUGUAAUGAAGUGAAUAAUCAAAUGUUUAUUUAUCCAAUCUGGAAACAGUCACCACCCAUUUUCAGUCAUCUUUCUGCCCCACUAUGAAGAAAACAGUGAAUAUGCAUUUUUAACUGGCUUCUCUGAAGGUCACAUGGACUUGCAGUGAAUUUCAAGAAACAAUUUGUGCCUAUUGAAAGGCACAAGAGAGAGCUUGUAAUGCAACAGGGCAGUCUGGUGGACAUUCAAACCAAUUAAUGUGAAAUUUAAACUUGUUUUACAAUCUGAAUUCAAUUCAGUUUUUAAAUAGGUUGUGAAGCACUACUGAUUUAUAAUCUUAUUUCAUCUUGUUAGGUUUCUGCAAAGAUGUGCAUUCAGUGAGCAGUCUAUUCCAAACAAAGAAAAAUGCGUUGUUGGUGGUUGACAAGGCAGAAAGUGUGAAUGGAAUACAAAGGGUCACUGUCUUUCAUGGAUCUGUGUGGAGAGAAUCAGAUUCGUUAUCCACCAUAUUGUACUUUUCCAUAUUUGCGAAGUAUAUGUAUCUAAACACAGUUUAUUAUUGAUUAUGGUAGGACAUAGAAUAGUCUUAAAUAUUGUUCUGCUGAGCAGCAAAACAGUCUGGCGUUGUCAUUCAUGUUAAUUGUGUUUCUUGAAUCUACAGAAAAUUGACUGAAUUCUGUAUUGCACUUCGGGGAACAAGAUCAAAGAAUGAAAUAAUCACUGUUGGUGGCCAUUCCUGGGAACAGGCCAGGAAUCUGACAGUGCUGAUUCUUUCAUUUCUUGAACUUGAUUCCCAAAGUGGGGAGGUGAAGUGGGAUACUUAAGGUCAAGGAAUGCAAGACCAAAAAACAAUUCAGUAAAUAAACGGGCAUUUUGUAGGCAGGCUAAUGGUUCCUAACUAAUUGAUCAAUUCGCUUUUGAUAACAGAUGUAAAAAAAUCUUGGUUUGCCUCAUGAGGUAGGCAACAGCAAGAUACGCAGCUUUGCAGGUGCAACGUCCCAAAACACUGAAGUCUAAAUUUGGACUUUGUGAUUUGGUCUUGCGCUCCUUGGCCAUAAGUACCUCAAUUCACCUUUUGUUUAUUUUGUUCCUUUCUCUAUCUUCACCCUGGUAAUGAGCACACCAGUGAUUCCUCGUAUCCUACCCUUAAGUAAUCACCAUAUCCAUACGUAGUCCUUCAUUCUAAAUCAAUUACAUAACUGGUUUAAACUAAGCUGAUACAUGCUCUCUGGUCAGCUUCAAGAACAUGGGUUACAGCUAAUCAUUCUAAUGUUACCUGAUGUACUUGGAAACAAAAAUAUGUUGCUUAUGUAGCCCUUGCAUGGUUUUUUUCAUAUUUCUUUUAACUGCAAUUACACUUUGUUCCAUUUGUUAGUUUUUGUAUAUUAUUGGCUUUUUCUUGUACCUUGUAUAGAGCUGUGUGUUGUGAUUUUUUUUAUGCAAGUAGUGUUUUAUUCAGUGAUUUUUAAGUAGUGUUUUAGGGGUACAUACUAAUUCUACAGUAUAGUAUUUUUCCUAGUUCAGAAACUCCCCAGCGUAUGAAUAGUUGAUUACAUACAUCCUGGACAAAUAUUUUGGAAAAUGGAAAGAAUUGCUGGCUGCUGCAGGCAUCUUCUACCUUGGGGGAAUUCAAUUUACUCUGACAUGAGUUAUGUCUGGGUUAUAAACCAUUCAUAGGAAUGGAUCCCUUCCAUAACCUGGCAUUCACAAUAAAACCAGGAAAUACUCUAAAAUUAAUGAAAAGACUACACACAAACAAAGUGACAAAUAACCAGUGUGCAAAAGAAGACAAAUUGUGGAAAUACAAAAGAAAGAAACAAAUAAUGUUUCAGAGCCAGGGAAACUGGAGCACCUGGAGGAAACCCAAGGGCUCACGGGAAGGAAUGUACAAAUUUGCUUACAGAGGAUGCCGAAAAUGAACUCUGAACUUUGAUGACUUGAGCUGUAAUAGCAUCAUUUUAAUUUGAUGUACCACUGUGGCAAUUGUUUGCAGAUGGUUGAAAAAUCUAGAGCUGCUCCUUUGUUAUUAUUUUUAUUAAUGUAUUAAUUAUCAAUCGUAAGUUAUACUUCAGAAUAAUGUUCAUUGCAAUGAGCUCCUUACCACACAGGUGUCGGAAGUUCUUGGGUAUAUUAAAGAUUUUCAUGGCCGUCAGCUGUCACAUGUUAAAAGUGAUUGAGAUGAGUCAUUUUAGAGUUGGGCAAUGGCUAACCCAAUUCAGCAUCCCUUUACUCAUUGGGUAAUGUGUAACUUUCUAAUUUGAAAGAAAACAUACAGAUAGUGGAUUUGAAAAUCAUUAUGGUAAAUCAUUCUUUGACUUGGUAUAAAUUUAAAAACUUGUGCAUACCUUGAAAAAUGGGAAGUAUUUAAUAAUACCUUGAUUUUUGGUUUGUAAUAAACUACACCUUACAUUUGAAGUUUAGUUUCAAUGUGGUGCGUGUGACAAAAAUCACCUGAUCUGAUUGAGUCUGUAGGAUCUAUUGGUUGCAGUUCAUUCUGCAAAUUUGCAUCGUCUAGUUCUGUCAUCUACCUCAACAAAUGUCCAAAAGUUUUUAUUGAUUCUACUCAACUAAAUUAACUAAAUUUAUUUCCUCCAAAGUAUUAGCAUGAUUAAUGCAGGUUUCUAUCAUAACUAAUGAUUGGUUUUAAGUUUCUUAUCUUCAAUGGUCUGAUUUGGUCCAAAAGGAUGAACUAUACUGGUGUUCAGAGAUGACCAAUAUGUUCCUGUACUUCUCCUGACAAGCUUACUUUUUUUUUAAAUCCCCCAUCCAUUUCUGUUCAUAAACCCUCUCCCCUGCCUGACUUUCUUUUGGACAGCACUUAAUCUGCUCAUUCUUGAUUGGCCCGGCCCCUCUCUCACUCAUUGACAUCUGGCUUCCCAAUCCACAGCAUAACUAGUCUUCUGUUUCACUGCAUAUAGCACUUUCAUCCUUGUCAAGGCAUCCCAAAAUAUGGUACACAAAUGCAGUUGCUGUUGCAUAAACUGUACAUAAGAAAUGUACAUUUCUGACUCCCACCAACAGCUUUAGAGCCACAUAGAAUCAUAUGUACGGUUACUUUAGUGGUUGAUUUGUAAAUGGAGAAAACAGCGGCUGCCUUUGAAACCUUGGUGUGUGUGAAAUGACUGGUAAUGCAAGAGACAACUUUGUCAAUUAAAACUGAGAGAACUUGGAGGGAGUUGAUCUUAUGGGAGCUUUUCUUCAAGGAGAAGGGAAAACACAUUUAUUUAAAAAGUCUAUUAGAAAAAGAAUGGGUGUUGAUAGAAUAAAUGCAAAAUGAAAUAUAGUUAUGAGUAACUGAUUUUAUUGUAGCAGCUUGUAUUAAAAGUAUAGUUUUGACAAAAUGAAUAUUGCUGUCUUGGUCUUUUAAUUGUAACAAAAUACUUUGUUGGUUUAAAAUCUGAAAUUGAGUUUAGCUGCCAUUGCUUUUUUACAAUAAUUGCUUUUUCUAUAAUUAGGCUAGCGUGACAGGGCGCAGCUUUUGUAUGUGUUCCUUGAAAACAUAAAUUAUAGGUUGUAUUGCAAUCAUGUUCUGUAUCGAGACUGUUCUUUUACAGUGUAUGUCACACACACACACACUUACACACAGACACAUUUACACACAGACAGACACUUUGUUUAGUUGCAACCCUUUAGCCUUUCACCAGAAGCUUUUGUAAGGGUG